This 459-nucleotide ribosomal RNA is filed under the name uncultured bacterium. RNAcentral describes it as "partial 16S ribosomal RNA". It matches the Rfam family "Bacterial small subunit ribosomal RNA", at positions 338 to 795 of the family's 1533-position model. The record is from RNAcentral.
CCUACGGGUGGCAGCAGUGAGGAAUAUUGGUCAAUGGGCGCGAGCCUGAACCAGCCAAGUCGCGUGAGGGAAGACGGUCCUAUGGAUUGUAAACCUCUUUUGUCGGGGAGCAAAAGACGCCACGCGUGGCGUUCCGAGAGUACCCGAAGAAAAAGCAUCGGCUAACUCCGUGCCAGCAGCCGCGGUAAUACGGAGGAUGCGAGCGUUAUCCGGAUUCAUUGGGUGAAAGGGGUGCGCAGGCGGAAGAUCAAGUCAGCGGUAAAAUUGAGAGGCUCAACCUCUUCGAGCCGUUGAAACUGGUUGUCUUGAGUGAGUGAGAAGUAUGCGGAAUGCGGGGUGUAGCGGUGAAAUGCAUAGAUAUCACGCAGAACUCCGAUUGCGAAGGCAGCAUACCGGCGCUCAACUGACGCUCAUGCACGAAAGUGUGGGUAUCGAACAGGAUUAGAUACCCGUGUAGUC